CCUACGGGAGGCAGCAGUAGGGAAUCUUUCACAAUGGGCGAAAGCCUGAUGGAGCAACGCCGCGUGCAGGAUGAAGGCCUUCGGGUUGUAAACUGCUUUUAUAAGCGAGCAAUAUGAUGGUAACUUAUGAAUAAGGAUCGGCUAAAUACGUGCCAGCAGCCGCGGUCAUACGUAGGAUCCGAGCAUUAUCCGGAGUGACUGGGUGUAAAGAGUUGCGUAGGUGGCAUAAUAAGUAGCUGGUGAAAUCUGGUGGCGCAACCAUUCAGACUAUUAGCUAAACUGGUAAGCUCGAGACCGUUAGGGGUAACUGGAAUUUCUAGUGUAGGAGUGAAAUCCGUAGAUAUUAGAAGGAACACCAAUAGCGUAGGCAGGUUGCUGGGACGGUUCUGACACUAAGGCACGAAAGCGUAGGGAGCAAACGGGAUUAGAUACCCGGGUAGUC
RNAcentral lists this ribosomal RNA (442 nucleotides) under uncultured bacterium. RNAcentral's name for it is "partial 16S ribosomal RNA". It matches the Rfam family "Bacterial small subunit ribosomal RNA", at positions 338 to 795 of the family's 1533-position model. The record is from RNAcentral.